Molecule: non-coding RNA, 113 nt
Organism: Xylaria sp. FL0043
Lineage: Eukaryota; Fungi; Ascomycota; Sordariomycetes; Xylariales; Xylariaceae
Source: the annotation of a GenBank genome assembly
GGCCUCGUGGCCCAAUGGCAAGGCGUCUGACUACGACAGGGUUCGAAUCGUACAUCACAAUUGGAACCCGCCGCCGAAUCAGGAGAUUGCAGGUUCGACCCCUGCCGGGGUCA